This 837-nucleotide ribosomal RNA is filed under the name Neopestalotiopsis saprophytica. RNAcentral describes it as "partial large subunit ribosomal RNA". It matches the Rfam family "Eukaryotic large subunit ribosomal RNA", at positions 75 to 937 of the family's 3401-position model. RNAcentral also lists the same sequence under 6 other names. The record is from RNAcentral. Lineage: Eukaryota; Fungi; Ascomycota; Sordariomycetes; Amphisphaeriales; Sporocadaceae.
UUGCCUUAGUAACGGCGAGUGAAGCGGCAACAGCUCAAAUUUGAAAUCUGGCCCUUGGGUCCGAAUUGUAAUUUGUAGAGGAUGAUUUUGGUGCGGUAUCUUCCGAGUUCCUUGGAACAGGACGCCUUAGAGGGUGAGAGCCCCGUACGGUUGAAUGCCUAGCCUCUGUAAAUCUCCUUCGACGAGUCGAGUAGUUUGGGAAUGCUGCUCUAAAUGGGAGGUAAAUUUCUUCUAAAGCUAAAUAUUGGCCAGAGACCGAUAGCGCACAAGUAGAGUGAUCGAAAGAUGAAAAGCACUUUGAAAAGAGGGUUAAAUAGCACGUGAAAUUGUUGAAAGGGAAGGAUUUGUGACCAGACUUUUUCUGGGCGGAUCAUCCGGGGUUCUCUCCGGUGCACUUCGCCCAGUAAAGGCCAGCAUCGGUUUUCGGCGUGGGAUAAAAGCAGUAGGAAUGUGGCUCUCUACGGGGAGUGUUAUAGCCUAUUGUAUAAUACCGCGCUGGGGACCGAGGUUCGCGCUUCUGCAAGGAUGCUGGCGUAAUGGUUAUCAAUCACCCGUCUUGAAACACGGACCAAGGAGUCGAACAUUUGUGCGAGUGUUUGGGUGUUAAACCCUCACGCGUAAUGAAAGUGAACGGAGGUGAGAGCCCUUACGGGUGCAUCAUCGACCGAUCCUGAAGUUUUCGGAUGGAUUUGAGUAAGAGCAUAACUGUUCGGACCCGAAAGAUGGUGAACUAUGCGUGGAUAGGGUGAAGCCAGAGGAAACUCUGGUGGAGGCUCGCAGCGGUUCUGACGUGCAAAUCGAUCGUCAAAUCUGCGCAUGGGGGCGAAAGACUAAUCG